CUACCGCCCGGGCUCCGGCUUCUCGGGCGGCAACACGGAAGCCGCCGCAGGAGAAAGCGCUGAGCGUACGGCCACGCCUCCCCAGCCCUCAGGAGCCAAUCGGAGCCCGAGGCCGCCGCGCACGCGCAUUGCUGGGCGCCCAGCAUUUCCCCCCCGCCCAGAGCCCGCGCAUGCCCGGAAUGGCCCGGAAUCCCACCUUGCGACUCUAGUUACACACCCAGGAUAUCCGUAUUAGGAAUCAGCCUCAACACCAGCCCAAGUGACCGAGGACGAGUCGCCCACCGCCCACUCCUGUGACAGGGUGUGGUGAAGGUUCAAGGAAAUCGAGGGUGCAAGCGCGAGCUCUCCACACGCCGUGUCAUUUGGGGCUGGUGCUCUCACCUGUAAAAUGAAGAUGCCUCCUCGGACGUGUCAGGGACACACUCUGCGAUAUGCUGGGUAAAGAAGAGACGCAGGCAGCGGCCUGGUGGUGCAGCGCCGUGAGGGUAAUGGGCUCCUCAAAGGGCAGGAGGCUGGGCCGGUCCCGACCCAUCUGCACAGGUGCCACCUCCACUCCGGGCCUCAGUUUCCUCAUCUGCCAAACGAGGUUACAGUAGAUGACCUCUAAGGGCCCUUCCCACUCUCCAAUUAUGUGUGUGUUAGAAUCUCAGGCCAGGCACACUCCCUCUUUUUCCCAGGGAGCAGUCACAUGGCACCCGCUAUCUUAGACACACAACCUGAGAACUUGAGGCAUUCUUAGGCUGGAGAGUGGUGAUGGGGCCCCAAAGAAAAGAGGCAGGUGUGAAACCACCUAUCCCCAGGGUCACGUCACCAGCAUGUCUUGGCAGCCCCAGCAUGUGUGUGCCUGAGGUAUAGAUCUUGGAGACAGACAGGUCUAUGAUGCCUUCCUGAGCUGGGGAAGUGGGUUCAACUUGUCCUGAUUCCCUGAGUUUGGAAGACAGUUCUAGCUCCUGACUGAGCCCAAGUUUCCUCAAUAUUAGAAACAGCUCUUUGCCUGCCUUCCCAAGACCCAGGGGCUCACCCCUUACAAUGUGUCUUUCUUGUAGCAUGACCUAAGGGCUCUAGGAAGCUCAAUGUGGGCUGGAGAGGAGAGGGUGCGGUGGGAACAGGCACUUCUGUCCCGAUUCUCAGCUCUGGGAUCCUCAGACCAGGACACAAUGACCCUGUGCCUCCCUAAACCAGCUAGAGCAAAGUGGGGACACAGUUCAGUCAGUGUUGUUGGGUGCUUACUGUGUGCGGGACCUGUGCUACAUCAGGGUACAGAGACCCUGGGGAGACACGUCCCUGCCUUCAGAAAGCUUAUAUCAUGGUUUAAUUGGACAGUGUAGGGAAAGCGGAGAGAAGUCCAGGAGAAAAGCAUAUUUAAAAUUACAUAAGACAAAAGAAUAGCCUCGAGCUUUAAAAACUAUAAGCAGGAAGAGGAUGGGCCUCAAUUCCUGAGCACCUACUGUGUGCUGGAUGUUGGGCUAGGCAUUUUCAUGUGUGUCACCUCACGUCCUCCUCCUGGACCCUGUAAGUGGAACUAAGCGUAAGAGCAGCUACCUUUCGUCGAGUGUGUGCUAUGUGCUAGACUCUUCUCUGAGUGCUUUAAUCCUUGUAACACGUUAAGAAGUGUUAUAUCUCUGUUUUAUGAAAAAGAAAACCAGAUUGGAAAUAUUGAAUCACAAGGCUGGGAGCUGACAGGUGUGUGUAGUUGUGGGGAUGGGUGGGGACUAGAACCCAGGUCUAAGCAAGCGAGGAGGGGCUUUGGGAGAGAGUCUCCAAGGCUACACAUGGUGCUGGCUGAUAGGGCAGGCAGGCCAGCGAGGAAAUGCAUUCCUGGUAGCGAGGUCUCCAUAGGCAUGGUUGGGACACCGGGAAAGCCCAGGGCACAAGAGGGUACAACAGGUGAGGCUGGGAAGGUGGGGUGGCAUCCAGUGUCAGGGAGCCUCGAAUGGCAGGGUGAGGGAUUUGUGGUUGGUUUGUCAGGCAGUGAGGACGUUUUAGAGGUUGUGAGCUAGAGAGACCAGCUCAGAGCACUCCCUUGCCAGGGAAGAUUUGCAGGAGGACUGGAGAAGAGCCAGCCGGUGGAUGGGCUUUGCUUCUGCAAGGCUCUAGCUUCUCCUGGCACCGGAGCCUCCAGUUCCUGCCCUGUAUCCAGGACAAUGCCUGCAGAAGAGUUUGUGGCUGGCUGGAUCUCUGGAGCUUUGGGCCUGAUCCUAGGACACCCCUUUGACACUAUAAAGGUGCGGCUGCAGUCACAGAGCAAGUACCGUGGUAUCUUCGACUGCGCUAUGCAGAUCUACCAACAUGAGUCGAUCCUGGGCUUCUUCAAGGGAAUGAGCUUCCCCAUCGCCAGCAUAGCCAUAGUCAACUCCGUCCUGUUUGGGGUCUACAGCAAUGUCCUGCUGGCACUCACGUCUACCACCCACCAGGAGCGGCGGUCCCAGCCUCCCAGCUAUACAGACAUCUUCAUAGCAGGCUGCAUCGGGGGGUUUGUACAGUCCUACUGCCUGGCUCCUUUUGACCUGGUCAAAGUCCGUCUGCAAAACCAGACAGAGCCGAAGGUGCAGCUGGGGAGCCUGCAGCCGCGCUACCGGGGGCCCCUGCACUGCGUGUCCUCCAUCCUCCAGAAGGAAGGGCCCCAGGGGCUGCUCCGAGGGUCUGGUACCCUGAUGCUGAGGGACACCCCCACGCUGGGCAUCUACUUUGUCACCUACGAAUGGCUGUGCCGCCAGUAUACCCCAAAGGGCCAGAAUCCCAGUGCCGUUGAGUUGGUUUCAACUCCUAAUGACCCUGUGUACAACAGAACGAAACACUGCUCGGUCCUCUGCCAUCCUUCCAGUCGUUGCCCUGCUUGAGCCCAUUGUUGCAGCCACUGUGUCAGUCCCUCUCAUGGAGGGUCUUCCUCUUUUUCGCUGACCCUCUACUUUACCAAGCAUGAUGUUCUUCUCCAGGGACUGAACCCUUCUGAUAAGGUGUCCAAAAUAUGUGAGACAUAGUCUAGCCAUCCUUGCUUCUAAGGAGCAUUCUGGUUGUACUUUCCAGACAGAUUUGUUUGUUCUUUUGACAGUCCGUGGUAUAUUCAAUAUUCACCAACACCACAGUUCAAAGCCUUCUACUCUUCUUCAGUCUUCUUUAUUCAUCCUUCAACUUUCACAUCUAUAUUAGAUGAUUGAAAACACCGUGGCUUCGGUCAGGCGCACCUUGGUCUUCAAGGUGACGUCCCUGCUUUUCAACACUUUGAAGAGGUCCUUUGCAGCAGAUUUGCCCAAUGCAAUGCGUCAUUUGAUUUCUUGACUGCUGCUUCCAUGGCUGUUGAUUGUGGAUCCAAGUAAAAUGAAAUCCUUGACAACUUCAAUCUUUUCUCCUUUAUUAUGAUGUUGCCCAUUGGUCCAGUUGUGAGGAUUUUUGUUUUCUUUAUGUUGAGGUGUAAUCCAUACUGAAGGCUGUGAUCUUUCAUCUUCAUCAGUACGUCCUUCAAGUCCUCUUCACUUUCAGCAAGCAAGGUUAUGUCAUCUGCAUAUUGCAGAUUGUUAAUGAGUCUUUCUCCAAUCCUGAUGCCUCAUUCUUUAUAUAGUACAGCUUCUCAGAUUAUUUGCUUAUCGUGUAGAUGAAUAAGUAUGGUGAAAGGAUACAACCCUGACACACAACUUUCUUGACUUUAAACCACAUAGUAUCCCCUUCUGUUUGAAUGACUGCUCCUUGAUCUACAUAUAGGUUCCUCACGAGCACAGAUAAGUGUGCUGGAAUUCCCAUUCUUCCUUCACACCAUCGGUUCCUGAUCGUAUGCUACCUCCUGAAAUAGUUGAACGUCAACCAAAUCUUUUUGGUACAGUGAUUCUCUGUAUUCCUUCUAUCUGUGUAUUCCUUUGAUGCUUCCUGCGUCGUUUAAUAUUUUCCCUGUAGAGUCCUUCAGUAUUGCAACUGGAAGCUUUUUUCUUCAGUUCUUUCAGCUUGAGAAAUGCUGAGUGUGUUCUUCCCUUUUGGUUUUCUAUCUCUAGGUCUUUGCACAUGUAUUGUAAUACUUUGUCUUCUCAAGCUACCCUUUGAAAUCUAUUCAGCUCUUUUACUUCAUCAUUUCUUCCUUUUGCUUUAGCUACUCAACUUUCAAGAGCAACUUUCAGAGUCUCUUCUGACAUCCAUUUAGGUCUUUUCUUUAAUAAUCUCUUGCUUUCUUCAUGUAUGAUGUCCUUGACUCAUUCUGCAACUUGUCUGGUCUUUGGUCAUUAGUGUUCAACGCAUCAAAUCUAUUCCUGAGGUGAUAUCUAAAUUCAGGUGGGAUAUACUCAAGGUUGACUUUGGCUCUCUUGGACUUGUUUUUUGGCCUUAGUGGUUGGUGUGUAAAUUUGAGUAAUAGUGUUAACUUGUCUUCCUUGUAGGUGUAUGGCUAUUUUCCUAUCACUGACAGCAUUGUACUUCAGGAUAGAUCUUGGAAUAUCCUUUUUGACGAUGAACACAACGCCAUUCCUUUUCAGGUUGUCAUUUCCAGCACAGUAGACCGUAUGAUUGUCUGAUUCAAAAUGGCCAACACCAGUCCGUUUCGGCUCACUAAUGCCUAGGAUAUCGAUGUUUAUGCGUUCCAUUUCAUUUUUUAUGAUUUCCAAUUCUUCUAGAUUCAUACUUUGUACAUACCAGGUUCUGAUUAUUAAUGGAUGUUCGCAGCUUUUUCUUCUCAUUUUGAGUCGUGCCACAUCAGCAGAUCAAGGUCCUGAAAGUUUGACUCCAUCCACGUCAUAAAAGUCAACUCUACUCUGAGGAGGCAGCUCUUCCCCGGUCAUCUUUUGAGUGCCUUCCAAACUGGGGGGCUCAUCUUCUGGCACCAUAUCAGACAACAUUCUGCUGUUAUUCAUAAGGUUUUCGCUGGCUAAUGCUUUUCAGAAGUAGCCCACCGGGCCUUCUUCCUAGUCUUAGUCCAGAAGGUCAGCUGAAACUUGUCCGCCGUGGGUGACCCUACUAGUAUUUGAAUACUGGUGGCAUAGCUUCCAGCAUCACAGCAACAUGCAAGCCCCCACAGUACAACAAACUGACAGACGCAUGGGGGAAACAACAACAACAAAAUGGUGUUCUAGGUGCUCCUAAUACUGGAAACUUGCAGCUCUGGCAAGCUAGAAAGGCUGUGAACUCCAUGAGGCAGGGAACAUGCCUGUGUUUUCUCAUCAUCAUGGUUACUGAGCGUUGUGAUCGAAGAUUCUGUGGAAGAAUUCUGAUGGAGGGGGAGGAGAAUACAGAACAGAAUUUCACAUUCUCAUGGAAUCCAGACUUUCUGGAGCCAUGGAGGCUGGAUGAAUCCUCAGAACUAUUGCCCGGAGAUAAUCCCUAAGUCUUAAACCAAAAACAUCCCUAAGUCUUCUUAAAGCCAAAUACUACCCAGAACAACUACGUCUUACCCAGUUACUACCACCAACUGCCUUGACAGGGAUCACAAUAGAGGGUCCUGGACAGAAGAAAAAUCUAGAACAAAAAUCAAAUUCACACACAGAAAAGACCAGGCUUGGUGGUCUGACAGAGAUUGGAGAAAGCCCAAGAGUACAGCCCCUGGGCACCAUUUUAACUCAGUAUUGAAGUCAUUCACUUUGGCUGAGGUUCACCCUUCGGCCAAAGAUUAGACACAUCUGUAGGGCCGACAAUAACACAUGAAGAAUGUGCUUCAUAGGUCAAUCAUUUAUACGAGACUAAUGGGUACACCUGCCCAAAAGCAAGGACAGAAGGCAGGAAGAGACUGGAAAACUGGUUGAAUACAAACAGGAAACCCUGGGUGGAGAGGGGAAAGCGUUGACACGUCAUGGGGUUGGCAACCAAUGUCACAAAACAAUUUGUGUAUUAACUGUUUUAUGAGAAACUAUUGCUCUAUAAACUUUCACCUAAAGCACAAUUUAAAAAAAAACAAAAGCUAGACAAUAGUUUAGCUUAACUAGUAAAUGUCUGCCUUGAGCAUUGUGCUCUCUUAAGAUCUGUCUAUAUGGGAUCGAACUGACAACAGCAAAUUUAAAGAUUAGAUAGGAACCUUGGGGGCAGUGAGUUUAUGUUAACGUGCGAAGAACAACUCAGAAAAGGGAGGUGAGAAUGGUUGCACAGCAUGGAAAAUGUAAUUAAUGUCGUUGAGUUGUACGUGUAGAAACUUGAAUUGGUAUAUGUUUUUGCUGUCUGUCACGGGUUGAACCGUGUCCCCUAAAAAUAUGUGCCAACUUGGUUAGGCCAUGAUUCCCAGUAUUGUGUGAUUGUCCACCAUUUUGUCAUUUGAUGAGAUUUUCCUGUGUGUUGUAAAUCCUAUCACUGAUCUUAAUGGAUUAGUGGCAGUUAUGUUGAUGAGAUCCACAAAUUAAGAUAGUGUCUUGAGCCAAUCUCUUUCGAGAUAUAAAAGAGACAAGCAAGCAGAGAGACACGGGGACCUUAUAUCACCAAAAAGCAAGAGCCAGGAGGAUAGCACGUCCUUCGAAACUGAGGUCCCUGUGCUGAGAAGCUCCUAGUCCAGGGAAGAUCGAUGACAAAGACCUUCCUACAGAGCCAACAGAGAAAGCCUUCCCCUGGAGCUGAUGCCCUGAAUUUGGACUUCUCACCUACUAAAACUCUAAAAAACCCAAACCCACUGCUGUCGUGUCGAUUCCCACUCGUAGCGACCCUCGAGGACAGAGUAGAACUGCCCCAUAGAGUUUCCAAGGUGUGCCUGGCGGAUUCAAACUGCGGACCUCUUGGUUAGCAGCUGUAGCACUUGACCACUACGCCACCAGGGUUUCCUCUCACCUACUAGACUGUGAGAAAAUAAAUUUCUCUUUAUUAAAGCCAUCCACUUGUGGUAUUUCUGUUAUAGCCCACUAGAUGACUAAGACAGCUGCUAACCACCCAAAAGGUUGCCGGAUUGAGCCCACCAGCGGCUCUGUGGGACAAAGAUGUGGCACUCUGCUUCCAUAAAGAUCUGUGGGCUCGGAAACCCUAUGGGCAGUUCUACUCUGUCCUAUAGGGUCACUGUGAACCAGCAUCGACUCCUUGGCACUGAAUUUGGUCUUGGGUUUUGAGUCUUUUCUGUAAACCAUGGACUUGCCUACUACUAUACUACUGUUUAGGUUCAGGACACUUUCCUGUGAGAAAUUAAUUUAUCAUGUUAGUAUCACCCCCUAGGGCCCGGUAGGAAUAACUACAAAUUUUUAGACGGAUGCAUGUCCCAAUCCAGGAUCUUCAAGAUUUUUCACAGACUAAUUAAGUACAGCCAAUAAAAAAAUUCCCACAGUUAAAAAAUUAACAAACACACGGGAAAACAAGACACCAUGAAUCAAAGCAUCAGGAGGAACAAAAACAACAGAUUUAGCCCUUCAAGCAUUUCAGAUAUUAGAUUUUUGAGACACAGAAUGUAAGAUAACCAUGCACGAAGUGUUCAAAGAUAUAAAAGAAUUAAAAAAGAAGAAACAAGAGGCUAUAAAAAUGCUUAGGGAUAUUUGAAAAAGAACCUGGAAGAACUUUCAUGGCUGAAGAAAACUGGAAGAUAGAUGAGAAGAAAUCACUUUCUGAUUUGGGGCUCUGCAUCCAGUUCACCAUCUUCUCAAGGUGAGAAGCAUAGCAUUUAAAAUAGUGAGCUACUGGCUCACAAGUAGUAAAUAUAGUUUGUUUAAUCCUCACAACUGACCUGUAUUAAAAGUGACUGCCUGCUUCUUCCUCUAGUGUGUGAGCACCUUAGGGACAGAGACCAGGUCUUUUUCUUUGGUUCGUUGGAGCCUUGUGUGCCUUCUGAACAUAGACGGUGUAGUGGGUUGAAGAGUCUCCUCAAAAUUCAUGUCCACCACUUGAGACUGUGUUGGCAUCUCCUGUCUGGAGGGGGGAUGGGAGAAUAGAGUGAGUUGGAAGCUGGCAAAAUUGUCACGAAAGGAGAGACUGGAAGGGCUGACUCAUUACGGGGAAAGCAAGUGGGAGUACGGAGUAAGGUGUAUAUAAACUUAUAUGUGACAGUCUGACUUGAUUUGUAAACAUUCACUUGAAGCUCAAUAAAAGUUAAUAAAAAAAAUUCAUGUCCACUCAGAACCUCAGAAUGUGCCCUCAUUUGGACUUGGCUAAGUUGGACAUCAGUAAGAUGAGGUCAUGAUGGAUUAGGGUGGGCCCUAAAUGCAAUGACUGGUAUCCUUGUAGGAGGAGGAGACAAAAGAGAGAGAUACAGAGAAGAAGGCCACGUGAAGACAGGCAGAUAUGGGAGUGAUGCAGCUACAAGGCAAGGAACGCCAAGGAUUGCUGGGAGUCACCGAAGCUAGAAAGGCGAGGAAGGACUCUCCCCUAGAGCCUUCAGAGGGAGCAUGGCCCUGCCAACACCUUGGUUUCAGACUUCUAGCCUCUGGAACUGGGAGAGAAUAAAUGUCUGUUGUUUUAAGCCACCAAGUUUGGUACUUUGUUCUUAGCCCUAGAACACUAAUACAGGGGGUGUUUGUUAUAGGUUUGUAAAUACACUGAAAUUAUACAUAUAAUGUUUUUGUUUUCCCCUUACUUUUCAUGUGACAACACCUGCAAAUUGGACAGGACCCCUUGACCUUGAUAAAAAUGAGGUUGUUGGAAAUGGUAGUGUCACCUCUGUUUCCGCUUUCCUUCAGACAUUACGCCUGUCCUUUAGGAAGUCCUGCUGCCUGCAGUUGCCUCCUAACUUACUUGGUCUUCCUGCUUGGACUUUUACUGCCCACCUCCCCAUCCGUUCUUCACACAGCAACCAGAGUUACAUUUUAAGAAACUUAAAAGAGAUUAUGCCCUUCCUUUGUCUAACCCCCCAACCAAAAAAAAAAAAAUUUCCUAUUGCAUUUAGGAUGAAAUUUAAACACUGUCUGGCUCAUAGGCCCCUGCCCUCCUUUCUGGCCUCUUCCCCUACUCAGGCCUCUCUCAUUGUCUUCCAGCCGCAGGGACUGUUUUCUGUUUCUUAACCUUGUUGAGGAGCUGUUUCUUACCUUAGGUGUUUGCACCUACUUUCCCUCUGUGGAAGCCCUGUUGGCAUAAGUGGUUAAGUGCUACGGCUGCUAACCAAAAAGUUGGCGGUUUGAGUCUACCGGGUGCUCCUUGGAAACUCUAUGGGGCCGUUCUACUCUGUCCUAUAGGGUAGCUAUGAGUUGGAAUUGAAGGGACGCCCACGGAGAAUACUCUUCCUUCAGAAGCAUGACUGUUUCCUUCUUAGCAUUCAUGACUCAACUCAAACUCCAUCUCCCUGAUGCUCCCUAUGACGUCACUAUUUUCAUCUUGGUACUUAACACCGAG
Molecule: RNA transcript, 9198 nt
Organism: Loxodonta africana (African savanna elephant)
Lineage: Eukaryota; Metazoa; Chordata; Mammalia; Proboscidea; Elephantidae
Gene: SLC25A45
Gene name: solute carrier family 25 member 45
Exons: 8
Source: RefSeq, a predicted model, not a curated record